Molecule: long non-coding RNA, 1045 nt
Organism: Bos indicus x Bos taurus (hybrid cattle)
Lineage: Eukaryota; Metazoa; Chordata; Mammalia; Artiodactyla; Bovidae
Source: Ensembl
CCUAGAUCUGUUGUUCUUACUUUUCUAGUUAUCUCAGGUUUCCAAAGUCCCCAGGCUGUUUGGUUGGGGGUGGGGAGGAUGGAUAAGACAGCCAAAAAGGGUAGCAGCCUCUGAUCCUACUUGAGGGUAGCCUCACUUCUCCCACUCUACCUUUCCUUCCUUAGAGGUAGUUGUCUGCUAUAGGAUGAAAAGCAUCCUUCCUUCUUGCUUUCAUAUUCAACCCUUUCUUUCUUCUCUUUACAAAUCCAAGAAGGUAGGAAAGGACCCUUUUGGAGAAACGAGACCACCUCUGCCUCAGCCAGUGCAGCCACCGAAUGAAAAUUCAGAGCGGCGGCUCCCUGGAGUUUCAGGAGGAGACCAGACCGGUAUGAAUAAAUAAUCCACAUUUCAAGCAGGAUUAGGACUAUAAAUGAAAGAUGAAAAGCACAUCAGGGUACCAAUUUGUCACACAUCUACACACAAAAGUGCAGCCUUGUUUUUCUCCUUAUCCCAGCUUACCCCACUUCCCACUGUACUUUGCGGCCAAACAUACACAACCCUGGAAAAGAUUUUUUAAAGUGGGGCAGAGAAAGCAAGACAGAGAGCUGCCAGCCAGACAGACAGUCCCAGUGGGAGAAAGAAGAUUCCUAAUCAAAAGGGAGGUGUUCUCAUCACUUCUGGAAGAACAUACUACACCCUGACAGAAGGAGAGGGGGCAUUGUUUCAGCUGUCUGCCAGUCUCCCUGGGGCCUGGGGAGACACAGCUCCUCUCCAUCAGUUCUUCUUGGGGGUAACAGCAGCCCCCAGGCCUCAGGCUGCCCUGGAGGGAUGGCCACUGGCGCUUCUGUAACCAGGACAACGAGAGAGGCCUUCUUAACAAGAAUAACCUGGUAAUCAGGAGUCAAGACACCCAGACACAAGUAAAUGCAUCCCCCACACACUCCCAUCCAUCUCUUAAAAUUAUUCAUCUAAGACCAUUACAAUCUUACUAUGUUAACUUAGUAUGGUGCUAGGUUUCCCAGAUAAAAUAUUGAACUCUCAGUUUUAACUGGGAGUUAGAAUCUGA